RNAcentral lists this small nuclear RNA (321 nucleotides) under Mus spicilegus (steppe mouse). RNAcentral's name for it is "7SK RNA (ENSMSIG00000013128.1)". It matches the Rfam family "7SK RNA". From Rfam's summary of the family: 7SK was discovered as an abundant small nuclear RNA in the mid-70s but a possible function has only recently been suggested. Two independent studies have found that 7SK RNA binds the CDK9/cyclin T complex (known as elongation factor P-TEFb). Lineage: Eukaryota; Metazoa; Chordata; Mammalia; Rodentia; Muridae. The record is from Rfam by way of RNAcentral.
GGAUGUGGGAGCAAUCUGGCUGCCAUAUCUGUCACCCCAUUGAUUGACAGGGUGGGUUUGACUGACCUGAGUGGCUAGGCGGGGGUUGCUUUCUUCUCUCACUGUUCCACGUAUGUCUAUCCUGAAGCUAUGUGCUUGGUUGAAGAAGAUGACCUUCUCUGAAGAGAGGAAGAUUGGUCUCUGGUCAAGGGUACCAGUCAAGGGUAUACAGUAGCUGCAUUCCCCUGCUAGAACUUCCAAACAACAAGGUCAACCAAGCAUGAAAAGAGACACAGCUCUGAGUGGCUCUUCCUCAUCAUUGCCACUAGGCCAGGAGCUUGA